ACCAAUUCUUAGGUUGGUGCAAAAGUAAUUGCAGUCUUUGUCAUUAAAAACAAUAACAAAAACCGCAAUUACUUUUGCACCGACCUAAAUAUUAUUU
This 97-nucleotide microRNA precursor is filed under the name Chlorocebus sabaeus (green monkey). RNAcentral's name for it is "miRNA (ENSCSAG00000025063.1)". Lineage: Eukaryota; Metazoa; Chordata; Mammalia; Primates; Cercopithecidae. The record is from RNAcentral.